AGAGUUUGAUCCUGGCUCAGAUUGAACGCUGGCGGUAUGCUUAACACAUGCAAGUCGAACGGCAGCACGAGGAAAGUUUACUUUCUUCGGUGGCGAGUGGCGGACGGGUGAGUAAUACAUAGGAAUCUACCUUUUAGUCUAGGAUAACUACCCGAAAGGGUGGCUAAUACUGGAUGUGGACUACGGUUUAAAGCAGGGGACCUUCGGGCCUUGCGCUAAGAGAUGAGCCUAUGUGGGAUUAGCUAGUUGGUGAGGUAAUGGCUCACCAAGGCGACGAUCUCUAGCUGGUUUGAGAGGAUGAUCAACCACACUGGGACUGAGACACGGCCCAGACUCCUACGGGAGGCAGCAGUGGGGAAUAUUGGACAAUGGGCGAAAGCCUGAUCCAGCAAUACCGCGUGUGUGAAGAAGGCCCUAGGGUUGUAAAGCACUUUUGUUAGGGAGAACGGGUGUUACGGUUAAUAACCAUAGUAUCUGAUGUACCUAAAGAAUAG
Molecule: ribosomal RNA, 494 nt
Filed under: uncultured bacterium
Lineage: Bacteria
Description: bacterial SSU rRNA
Rfam family: Bacterial small subunit ribosomal RNA
Source: RNAcentral